RNAcentral lists this ribosomal RNA (475 nucleotides) under Pasteurella dagmatis. RNAcentral describes it as "bacterial SSU rRNA". It matches the Rfam family "Bacterial small subunit ribosomal RNA", at positions 9 to 472 of the family's 1533-position model. Lineage: Bacteria; Pseudomonadati; Pseudomonadota; Gammaproteobacteria; Pasteurellales; Pasteurellaceae. The record is from RNAcentral.
GAGUUUGAUUAUGGCUCAGAUUGAACGCUGGCGGCAGGCUUAACACAUGCAAGUCGAACGGUAGCAGGAAGAAAGCUUGCUUUCUUUGCUGACGAGUGGCGGACGGGUGAGUAAUGCUUGGGAAUCUGGCUUAUGGAGGGGGAUAACUGUGGGAAACUGCAGCUAAUACCGCGUAGUAUCGAGAGAUGAAAGGGUGGGACCUUCGGGCCACCUGCCAUAAGAUGAGCCCAAGUGGGAUUAGGUAGUUGGUGGGGUAAAGGCCUACCAAGCCGACGAUCUCUAGCUGGUCUGAGAGGAUGACCAGCCACACUGGGACUGAGACACGGCCCAGACUCCUACGGGAGGCAGCAGUGGGGAAUAUUGCGCAAUGGGGGGAACCCUGACGCAGCCAUGCCGCGUGAAUGAAGAAGGCCUUCGGGUUGUAAAGUUCUUUCGGUAAUGAGGAAGGGGUAUUAUUGAAUAGAUAAUAUCAUGA